Molecule: ribosomal RNA, 429 nt
Filed under: Triticum aestivum (bread wheat)
Lineage: Eukaryota; Viridiplantae; Streptophyta; Magnoliopsida; Poales; Poaceae
Description: partial small subunit ribosomal RNA
Source: RNAcentral
AUGUAUAAAUGGCUGGAGAGCCCCCUUAGCGGGUGCCAUUAUAGAUGGAUCUGGAGAGCUAAACUGCCUCUCAAGAUUAAAAUCUUCCUAUGGCAAGUGUCACAGGAUGCAGUUCUUACUAGGCAAGUGAUGCGUAGGAAAAAUUGGCCAGGCAAUCCUAGUUGCUCUUUCUGCAGUGAUGCUGAGAGCUCUUAGCACCUAUUCUUCGCUUGCCCUGUUGCUAAGUGUGUUUGGCGCUCCAUUGGGGUGACGCUGGGGACUGACAAAUGCCCCAACAAUUACUGGCAGUUUUUUGCUUGGUGCUAUGCUUUUUGCCCUGGUGGCGAGAAGUUCUAUACGGUGGGGCUUGCGUCUGCUUGCUGGGCAAUUUGGCUUGCCCAUAACCGUGCAACUUUUGAGAAGAAGCUGAUCAAAAACCUUUUGAGAUAG